GGGAGAUGUGGUAAAUGCCAGCACAUGAACCAACUGCGGCGCCCAAUGAGACAGCCCAAGCCACAAGACGACAUGAGAUGCGGCAAAGCCUUUGACUUAAAGAAAGUGUCAGCGCUCCAGUGCUCGCUUCUGACAAGCUUUUGCAUUGGUUAUAUUGAAAUCCCAGAUGCAAAGAAGUUUGGCGGCAUUUCCAGAGUACAUCUGUGGACUGGAAAAGUUGUUGAGGAAGGACUUUGCCAUGCUGCAGUCACAAUUAAACAUGCAAGAGCAGUUGUAUGGAAAGAGGGAAAGGGGGGGGGAAUAGAUGAGAGAAAUAAUCAUUUCUAUAUAUAGCAACCCAUUCUCCCACAUUUCCCAGUGCCAGCAAUUGUCUUAGCAUGCUGUGUAUAGGUGAACAGUGCUAAGUUUAUUUAGAAUUGUCCCAAUCUCUUCAAUGGGGUUUACUCUCAGGUGUAAAGUUCCUUAUUUGAUGGAACAAAACAGAAGAAAUCUUUAAAAAUCACUGUACCUGUAGAGCAAGCUUAAGAAGCACACAAUGAAAUAAAUUCCAAUGGUGAAUAUA
Sceloporus undulatus (fence lizard) is the source of this 562-nucleotide long non-coding RNA. RefSeq lists it as uncharacterized. The transcript is spliced from 2 exons. The record is from RefSeq and is a predicted model, not a curated record. Lineage: Eukaryota; Metazoa; Chordata; Lepidosauria; Squamata; Phrynosomatidae.